Molecule: ribosomal RNA, 253 nt
Filed under: uncultured bacterium
Lineage: Bacteria
Description: partial 16S ribosomal RNA
Rfam family: Bacterial small subunit ribosomal RNA
Source: RNAcentral
UACAGAGGGUGCAAGCGUUGUUCGGAUUCAUUGGGCGUAAAGGGUGUGUAGGUGGCGCGCUAAGUCGGGUGUGAAAUUUCGGAGCUUAACUCCGAAACUGCAUUCGAUACUGGCGUGCUUGAGGACUGGAGAGGAGACUGGAAUUCAUGGUGUAGCAGUGAAAUGCGUAGAGAUCAUGAGGAAGACCAGUGGCGAAGGCGGGUCUCUGGACAGUUCCUGACACUGAGACACGAAGGCCAGGGGAGCAAACGGG